This 440-nucleotide ribosomal RNA is filed under the name uncultured bacterium. Its description in RNAcentral is "partial 16S ribosomal RNA". It matches the Rfam family "Bacterial small subunit ribosomal RNA", at positions 338 to 795 of the family's 1533-position model. The record is from RNAcentral.
CCUACGGGAGGCAGCAGUGGGGAAUAUUGCACAAUGGGGGAAACCCUGAUGCAGCGACGCCGCGUGAAGGAAGAAGUAUUUAGGUAUUUAAACUUCUAUCAGCAGGGAAGAAAAUGACGGUACCUGACUAAGAAGCCCCGACUAACUACGUGCCAGCAGCCGCGGUAAUACGUAGGGUGCAAGCGUUAUCCGGAUUUACUGGGUGUAAAGGGAGCGUAGGCGGUUUAGCAAGUCAGAAGGGAAAGCCCGGGGCUCAAAUCCGGGACUGCUUUUGAAACUGUUGAACUAGAGUGCAGGAGAGGUAAGUGGAAUGCCUAGUGUAGCGGUGAAAUGCGUAGAUAUUAGGAGGAACACCAGGGGCGAAGGCGGCUUACUGGACUGUAAAUGACGCUGAGGCUCGAAAGCGUGGGGAGCAAACAGGAUUAGAUACCCGGGUAGUC